AAAACUCAAAAGGAAUUUGACGGGGGGUCCCGCACAAACGGGCGGGGGCAUGCGGAUUAAUCUAGAUGCAACGCGAAGAACCUUUACCUGGGUUUGACAUACACCCCGCCCCUCCAGAGAUGGAGCUUCUUUUGGGAGUGUACAGGUGGUGCAUGCCUGUCGUCCGCUCGUGUCGUGAGAUGUUGGCUUAAGUCACGCAACGAGCGCAAACCUUGUCACAUGUUGCCAGCACGGCCUUCGGGGUGGUGGGGACUCAUGUGAGUCUGCCGGGGUCAACUCGGAGGAAGGUGGGGAUGACGUCAAGUCAUCAUGCCCCUUAUGUCCAGGGCUUCACGCAUGCUACAAUGGCCGGUACAGAGGGCUGCGAUCCCGUGAGCGGGAGCGAAUCCCAAAAAGCCGGUCUCAGUUCGGAUUGGGGUCUGCAACUCGACCCCAUGAAGUCGGAGUCGCUAGUAAUCGCAGAUCAGCAACGCUCCGGAGAAUACGUUCCCGGGCCUUGUCCCCCCGCCC
RNAcentral lists this ribosomal RNA (510 nucleotides) under Nocardioides rotundus. RNAcentral's name for it is "bacterial SSU rRNA". It matches the Rfam family "Bacterial small subunit ribosomal RNA", at positions 896 to 1395 of the family's 1533-position model. Lineage: Bacteria; Bacillati; Actinomycetota; Actinomycetes; Propionibacteriales; Nocardioidaceae. The record is from RNAcentral.